RNAcentral lists this ribosomal RNA (162 nucleotides) under Cathcartia chelidoniifolia. RNAcentral's name for it is "5.8S ribosomal RNA". It matches the Rfam family "5.8S ribosomal RNA". Rfam says of the family: 5.8S ribosomal RNA (5.8S rRNA) is a component of the large subunit of the eukaryotic ribosome. It is transcribed by RNA polymerase I as part of the 45S precursor that also contains 18S and 28S rRNA. The record is from RNAcentral. RNAcentral also lists the same sequence under 2 other names. Lineage: Eukaryota; Viridiplantae; Streptophyta; Magnoliopsida; Ranunculales; Papaveraceae.
AACGACUCUCGGCAACGGAUAUCUCGGCUCUCGCAUCGAUGAAGAACGUAGCGAAAUGCGAUACUUGGUGUGAAUUGCAGAAUCCCGUGAACCAUCGAGUUUUUGAACGCAAGUUGCGCCCCAAGCCUUCGGGCCGAGGGCACGCCUGCCUGGGCGUCACGC